Molecule: ribosomal RNA, 786 nt
Filed under: uncultured Pelagibacteraceae bacterium
Lineage: Bacteria; Pseudomonadati; Pseudomonadota; Alphaproteobacteria; Candidatus Pelagibacterales; Candidatus Pelagibacteraceae
Description: bacterial SSU rRNA
Rfam family: Bacterial small subunit ribosomal RNA
Source: RNAcentral
ACAUGCAAGUCGAACGCAGUAGCAAUACUGAGUGGCAAACGGGUGAGUAUAAUGUGGGAAUCUGCCUUUUGGUUUGGAAUAACACGGGGAAACUUGUGCUAAUACCGAAUAAGCCUUUACAGGGAAAGUUUUAACGCCGAAAGAUGAGCCCGCACUUGAUUAGCUAGUUGGUAAGGUAAAAGCUUACCAAGGCAAUGAUCAAUAGCUGUUCUUAGAGGAAGACCAGCCACAUUGGGACUGAGACACGGCCCAGACUCCUACGGGAGGCAGCAGUGGGGAAUCUUGCACAAUGGGGGAAACCCUGAUGCAGCGAUGCCGCGUGAGUGAAGAAGGCCUUUGGGUUGUAAAACUCUUUCGUCGGGGAAGAAAAUGACUGUACCCGAAUAAGAAGGUCCGGCUAACUUCGUGCCAGCAGCCGCGGUAAUACGAAGGGACCUAGCGUAGUUCGGAAUUACUGGGCUUAAAGAGCUCGUAGGUGGUUAAAAAAGUUGAUGGUGAAAUCCCAAGGCUUAACCUUGGAACUGCCAUCAAAACUUUUUAGCUAGAGUGUGAUAGAGGUAAGUGGAAUUUCUAGUGUAGAGGUGAAAUUCGUAGAUAUUAGAAAGAACACCAAAUGCGAAGGCAACUUACUGGGUCACUACUGACACUGAGGAGCGAAAGCAUGGGUAGCGAAGAGGAUUAGAUACCCUCGUAGUCCAUGCCGUAAACGAUGUGUGCUAGACGUUGGAAAUAUAUUUUUCAGUGUCGCAGCGAAAGCAUUAAGCACACCGCCUGGGGAGUACGACC